AAGUGCUGAAAGCAUCUAAGCACGAAACUUGCCCCGAGAUGAGUUCUCCCUGACUCCUUGAGAGUCCUGAAGGAACGUUGAAGACGACGACGUUGAUAGGCCGGGUGUGUAAGCGCAGCGAUGCGUUAAGCUAAUCGGUACUAAUGAACCGUGAGGCUUAACCUU
This 165-nucleotide ribosomal RNA is filed under the name Escherichia coli. RNAcentral's name for it is "partial 23S ribosomal RNA". It matches the Rfam family "Bacterial large subunit ribosomal RNA", at positions 2766 to 2925 of the family's 2925-position model. Lineage: Bacteria; Pseudomonadati; Pseudomonadota; Gammaproteobacteria; Enterobacterales; Enterobacteriaceae. The record is from RNAcentral.